RNAcentral lists this small RNA (162 nucleotides) under Clostridium chauvoei. RNAcentral's name for it is "Magnesium sequence". It matches the Rfam family "M-box riboswitch aptamer (ykoK leader)". From Rfam's summary of the family: M-box riboswitch, also know as ykoK leader is described as a metaloregulatory RNA that sense divalent metals and function as a genetic control element of genes related to divalent metal transport in bacteria. It was first reported upstream of the B.subtilis ykoK gene and genes with related functions in other bacteria. The record is from RNAcentral. RNAcentral also lists the same sequence under 1 other name. Lineage: Bacteria; Bacillati; Bacillota; Clostridia; Eubacteriales; Clostridiaceae.
AAAUAUCCUCGGUAGGUGAGGUUACUUUAAGGAUAAGGAUUGAUACCGUGAAAGGGUGGAAACACUCUCAGCUGGUUAGCAGAUUUUACCGAACAAAGAAGGUUUAAUUUAAUUCAAUUUCAUGCCUUAAAGAGCUAAAACUUGAACGAGUAGAGUGUAUUU